CCUACGGGAGGCAGCAGUGGGGAAUAUUGGGCAAUGGGCGCAAGCCUGACCCAGCACCGCCGCGUGAAGGAAGAAGGCUUUCGGGUUGUAAACUUCUUUUCUCAGGGACGAAGCAAGUGACGGUACCUGAGGAAUAAGCCACGGCUAACUACGUGCCAGCAGCCGCGGUAAUACGUAGGUGGCAAGCGUUAUACGGAUUUACUGGGUGUAAAGGGCGUGUAGGCGGGCCUGCAAGUCAGAUGUGAAAACCACGGGCUCAACCUGUGGCCUGCAUUUGAAACUGUAGUUUUUGAGUACUGGAGAGGCAGACGGAAUGCCUAGUGUAGCGGUGAAAUGCGUAGAUAUUAGGAGGAACACCAGUGGCGAAGGCGGUCUGCUGGACAGCAACUGACGCUGAGGCGCGAAAGCGUGGGGAGCAAACAGGAUUAGAUACCCGGUAGUC
Molecule: ribosomal RNA, 442 nt
Filed under: uncultured bacterium
Lineage: Bacteria
Description: partial 16S ribosomal RNA
Rfam family: Bacterial small subunit ribosomal RNA
Source: RNAcentral